CUCAGAAGAGAAAGAGCUGAAAUGAAACCAAGAGCUUUGCCUGCUCUGAGCUUCUGUAGAAAAGAUUGAAGCGGGGGACCGGCACUUUCCAGCAAGGGCUGCGUGUAGCGCCCAUCGCCUCACGGGCCGCUCCCGGCCCUGCUGCCGCUCCCUCACAGAGCUGUGCCCACACGGCCCGCUGCCGCGGCCCGGCCGGCCGAGGAGCUGCCCCUGAGGGCAGGGGAAGGGAGGUGUCCUGCUCACCCUGCACCCCUGGGAAAGGGGUGCCAGCAGCCAGAGGCUCAGGAGGACCAGGUGAGGAGCAGCCCAUCGAGGAGAGUCAAGUGGUGGGGCCGGCUCUGUGCAGCCACAGAGCCCUCUUGUGUUGUCUGCUGGGUUGCAGACCAGCCAGAAGAGCAGCCGGUUCCUUUCACGAGACCAAGCAAGGCAACCUUCCUUUGGACCCAUCUCCGUUCAGUGCUGUCUCCCUUUGAGGGAAGCCACCUCAGGCACCGGGACUUUGUGCAGUGGAGACUAAUGAGUAAGAAAAUACCCUAAGGACAUUGGAUCUCAGCACUGAAUCCAAGCCUUUAGAAACAGGAUGCAUAAGGCAAACAAUGCUGCCAAGGUCACGUGCCACGUACUUCUGUUGCCUUCAUCCUUGGAGGAAGCCCUGGGGCCAACAGGAAGAUCCAUGCUCCUGUGACAUUUCAGGGACUCACCAGGAGAAGGAGAGCUAGUGUACUUGCUCUUGGUCUUGCCCAGGUGGACGAGGGCCUCUCAGUCUGCUGUGUCCACAGCUGAACAAAUGCAGUUCCUACACAGGAUUGUGGAUUAUAUCCUUUCUCUUCUGUGCAGCAUCUCUUUCAGCAGAGUUGAAGAUUUCAUCAAAACCGGCCUUUCACCCCUUGAGGAGAGGUUUGGGUUAGCAGCAGUCUCUUCCCCUCUUAUAAUGGCAGGUGCCACUGCUGCCUUAUGGCUUCACUUCAUGGCUUGGAGUGACUUCAGAUAUGACUUCUCCAGAGGGUCCUCCCUGAACUCAAGUUACUGGAGUUUGAGAGGCCUGACAGUGCAGCUAAAUGUGGUUGAGGGAAGAACCAUUUCUUGUUUUGGCUAUGGUCUUUGCAACAACUUUCAGUUACCUGGAGAGGGGCGGAGAAGAGAAAGGUGUUUUUAAAGAUCUCAGCGGCCCGAAGAGGAAAAAUGUGCAAAAUUUCAUUAACUUGAAAGGCAGCAAGACACAGUCCCCCAGGCCAAGCUGCAAAUCUGCAAAUCAUGGUGUAAG
This 1264-nucleotide long non-coding RNA is filed under the name Parus major (Great Tit). Its description in RNAcentral is "lncRNA (ENSPMJG00000005220.1)". Lineage: Eukaryota; Metazoa; Chordata; Aves; Passeriformes; Paridae. The record is from RNAcentral.